RNAcentral lists this transfer RNA (68 nucleotides) under Falcipennis canadensis (siberian grouse). RNAcentral's name for it is "tRNA-Ala". It matches the Rfam family "tRNA". From Rfam's summary of the family: Transfer RNA (tRNA) molecules are approximately 80 nucleotides in length. The record is from RNAcentral. Lineage: Eukaryota; Metazoa; Chordata; Aves; Galliformes; Phasianidae.
AGGCUUUAGCUUAAUUAAAGCAUCUGACUUGCACUCAGAAGAUACAGGUUUAUGUCCUGUUAGUCUUA